RNAcentral lists this ribosomal RNA (321 nucleotides) under Nasutitermes kemneri. RNAcentral's name for it is "partial large subunit ribosomal RNA". The record is from RNAcentral. Lineage: Eukaryota; Metazoa; Arthropoda; Insecta; Blattodea; Termitidae.
UGCCCACUGACUGUUAANNGGUUGAAGGGCCGCGGUAUUUUGACCGUGCAAAGGUAGCAUAAUCAUUAGUUCUUUAAUUGUGAUCUGGUAUGAAUGGCUUGACGAGACAUAAGCUGUCUUAGAGGUAUUGGUUUGUUGAAUUUGGUUUUUGAGUUAAAAUUCUUAAAUGUUUUUAUGGGACGAGAAGACCCUAUAGAGUUUAACAAUUUUCUUAUUUGUUCAUUGUUUGUUUUAUUUACAUUGAGUGGGAACNNAUUGUUUUGUUGGGGUGAUGGGAGGAAANUUGUUUAACUCCUCUUUGUUUUUGUAUAUUUAUGUAUA